Molecule: ribosomal RNA, 422 nt
Filed under: uncultured bacterium
Lineage: Bacteria
Description: partial 16S ribosomal RNA
Rfam family: Bacterial small subunit ribosomal RNA
Source: RNAcentral
GAAUCUUCCGCAAUGGACGAAAGUCUGACGGAGCAAUGCCGCGUGAGCGAUGAAGGACUUCGGGUCGUAAAGCUCUGUUGUUAGGGAAGAACAAGUCCCAGUUAACUGCUGGUACCUUGACGGUACCUAACGAGACAGCCACGGCUAACUACGUGCCCGCAGCCGCGGUAAUACGUAGGUGGCAAGCGUUUUCCGGACUUAUUGGGCGUAAAGCGCGCGCAGGCGGUUCUUUAAGUCUGAUGUGAAAGCCCCCGGCUCAACCGGGGAGGGUCAUUGGAAACUGGGGAACUUGAGUGCAGAAGAGAAGAGCGGAAUUCCACGUGUAGCGGUGAAAUGCGUAGAGAUGUGGAGGAACACCAGUGGCGAAGGCGGCUCUUUGGUCUGUAACUGACGCUGAGGCGCGAAAGCGUGGGGAGCAAACA